CCCUCGGGAGGGGGAUAACCCCGGGAAACUGGGGCUAAUCCCCCAUAGGCCUGAGGUACUGGAAGGUCCUCAGGCCGAAAGGGGCUCUGCCCGCCCGAGGAUGGGCCGGCGGCCGAUUAGGUAGUUGGUGGGGUAACGGCCCACCAAGCCGAAGAUCGGUACGGGCCAUGAGAGUGGGAGCCCGGAGAUGGACACUGAGACACGGGUCCAGGCCCUACGGGGCGCAGCAGGCGCGAAACCUCCGCAAUGCUCGAAAGAGCGACGGGGGNACCCCCAGUGCCGUGGCAUCGCCACGGCUUUUCCGGAGUGUAAAGAGCUCCGGGAAUAAGGGCUGGGCAAGGCCGGUGGCAGCCGCCGCGGUAAUACCGGCGGCCCGAGUGGUGGCCGCUAUUAUUGGGCCUAAAGCGUCCGUAGCCGGGCCAGUAAGUCCCUGGCGAAAUCCCACGGCUCAACCGUGGGGCUUGCUGGGGAUACUGCUGGCCUUGGGACCGGGAGAGGCGGAGGGUACUCCUGGGGUAGGGGUGAAAUCCUAUAAUCCCAGGAGGACCGCCAGUGGCGAAGGCGCUCCGCUGGAGCGGGUCCGACGGUGAGGGACGAAGGCCAGGGGAGCGAACCGGAUUANAUACCCGGGUAGUCCUGGCUGUAAAGGAUGCGGNCUAGGUGUCGGNUGAGCUUCNAGCUCGCCCGGUGCCGAAGGAAGCCGUU
Molecule: ribosomal RNA, 705 nt
Filed under: uncultured archaeon
Lineage: Archaea
Description: bacterial SSU rRNA
Rfam family: Archaeal small subunit ribosomal RNA
Source: RNAcentral